GCCCGCCCGCGCCUGCGGCUGCCUGCGCCGGACUGGAGAGCGCGGAGGGCCGACCUGACCCGCCGAAAGGGCCUGAGGCGAGGGGAGCCCGGGUCCCGGGGCCUUGGGGAAGGACCCGCAGCCGCACGCCGGCCCCAAGUGCAAAGCAUUGACACGACCCCGAGCGGAGAGGGGGCGCCCUCCUUCUCCCGCGCCCAGAGGCCCGGCCGCUCUGGCCCGAGCCCCAGCCUGGCCUCCGACCCAGCUCCGGGUCGUGGCGCCGCCUGGGGGUCCCUGCGCCCCGGAAAGAGACAGCAGGCACUGGAAAGCGAGGCCGGUGGGCGGGCGAGUCGGGAGGCUCGGGCGGCCGAGGUCCGGGAGCGGAUCCCAGGUGGCGGGAGCUGGUGAGUGGAGCCAUGGCCGAGCCCUGCUGGGGCCGGCGCGGGCGGGAGCGGGACGCGGCCUUGCGCUGGGGAAACGCGGGGACCCCCUACCCGCGCCCGCCUUCACCGGAAGACUCGGAAGGAACCUGGAGUUCUCCGCAGGCCCGGGCCCCGCCCUGAGCUUUCCAGCGGCCGGGAGGAGCGGAUCCUCGGGGCCAGGAAGGUGAGCGCACCUUUCGCUGAGCACAGGGCGGCACCGCGCGGGCGGACCCCGGAUUCUCCACCCGCGACCCAACGAAUUUUCGCCCUAUCCGGUACCGGAGACGAAAGUCUCCUUCUUCCGAAAUACCGGCUUCCUCUCUUCGCCCUGCCAACCACUUUUUUAGUUUCUUCUCAUCUCUCGGAAGCGCACGUCUCCUAAGUUAAGGAGUGCUGAGUAACGCGUGAGGGAGUUGGGGUGUCUGCGAGCACCUGUGAUUGAAGCCCCCUCUUCUGUGAUCAGUCUUCGUUUUCUGUCUUCCGGCAGCCUCAGUUUCCCCCCCAUGAAGUGAUGGUGUGUGUGUGUGUGUGUGUGUGUGUGUGUGUGUGUGUGUGUGUGUCGGGCCCCGUGUGGUGCCCUCUGUGCGCAGCGAGAGCUAUAACUCAAGGUGUGCACGGGGAGAGUGAAGCGACCACGCACCUGCUUCCAAUCGGGCUCGGGCGCGAACACUCAGGCUGAUUCCUGAAGGUCGUUUUCUGAAGGAAAAGACAGAGCAUGCACUAGCCACGGGUGACAUUCCCACCCGUACAACCGCGUGGUGGGCGCGUACAUCCAACAUUGACCCAUGCAGGCGCCCGCCCACUGCGCACACCGGUCGCAGGGCACUUCGUUGUUGAACGUUGGGAGCAGCGUUUGAAGGCCGGAUCUCUCCUGGCAGUGCGGAUUCGGGACCGGCGGAAGCAGUAUGGCCUCUGCGACCGUUAUCCCUACUUUUCGGGGCCGACCCCAGGGCCCUCACAACUCCUCAUCACCGCAUAUGUGAGCGCCGCCCCCACAGGGUUUUCUCCACGACCUCGUUCUUGGCUAGGUCGCACCUCUCUUAGUACCUCCUCUCUGGCCAGAACGAAUCUUUGACUCCGAGCUGCGCAGUCUACGCAGACGGGGCAGGAUCCACUGCAGUUUUCCACAGGCAAAUACCUGCUGGCUCCACCUUAGGCGAGAUGUGGCCUCUCGGGGAGGGACCCGUUGUGGACACGUUUGCGCAGCCGGUGAGGUGACCAGAUAAUAACCAGGGCAGCUUUCCUUAGCCGGGAACCCAGGUACCGGCCUAGGAAUCCGUGAAUACAUUCGCAAAGUCGCGCGCGCGCGCGCGCGCGUGUGUGUGUGUGUGUGUGUGUGUGUGUGUGUAGACACAUACUUUUGUCCUUGUAAGAGUAUGUGUACAUCUAAAUGUGUGCGUUUUAGACAUUAGUCCAUUUCAUUAGUCCAUCCAUAGCUGGUCCAGGGGUCCGAGGCCUGAAGAGUUUGAAACACUCAGGCCUGGGUUAUUUGACCGAGAAACCUGGCGGCGACAGUGCAGCGGCUGCAUCUGGGGACGGCGACCCCACCUACAGUGGCACCGACCUUCCCUCUGGCUUUCCGGGGCUCUGUCCGGGCCAGGAUCCCACCACUCGCCCCGCCCCGCGGUCCCGCGAUCACCCUGAGGUCCUGCUGCAGCCGCUCUGAAGAGUCUGUAGCGACCCCCAGCCAAACUCUCCAGCUAGGAAUGCCCGAGGCUCACCGAAAGCUGGCGCUGGGGAGGCCUGGGAGGCCCUGGAGCGGCGCCGUGAGGCCUCCGCUGGGCCCCUCCCCCACCUAGGCCGGCCCCCUCCCCCUUCCCAGGAACCCCCUCCCCUGGCGGAGCCCCGGGGGCCGAGUGUGCGUGUUCCUUUAAGAGGCCCCGGGGGGCGCCUCGCGGGCCGCCCGGGGCUGGAGGGGGAGGGCGCGGGCGGGGGCGGCUGGCGCCAGGCGGCCGAGGCUCCACAACAAAGCUCCGGCCCCUGUCACUUCGCAUCGGCCAGGUCCCGCAGACAGGCGGGGGACGCGCGCUCGGCCGCCCCUCCCUCUCGCAGGCGGUCUCCGGCCAGGGCGUCGGGCGGGCUUGGGCUGGUGGCGCGCGGUCUGUGCGCCCCGCGCUUCCCGCAACAGUGAAAUGGGGCGGGAGCGGGGACGGCCUGGGCCGGGUGGGGCCGCGGUCCUGAGCCUGGCGUGGCUGCCCUUCCGUCCUCCGGCCCCGUCACCUCUCGCAGGGUUAAGGGGCACUGCUGGGACCUUCCCCGGGUUGAGCCUCCAGGUGGCAGGGGGUCCCCGCCGCUUCCUCCUCUGUGUGCAGGGCCGGGGUUGCGUGACCCCGCGGGCAGUGGGCAGCAGGAAGCUCGGGCUGUGCGGCCGCGUGGCAGAGCGGACGACGGACUUGCGUCCGAGUGACGGGGCGCGGGCUGCAGACUGGCUUAAGCCCUCGGUGGCAGACGAAUGUGCCCAGGCUAAGCUCAGGGGACGUGUGUGGCCCCGUGCUAUGGGCCCGCUGUGAGGGUGCCGCCAGGCCGUCGAUCACUGCCUGGACGUGAGGAGUGUGGUGGUGAAGGACACUCCCUGGACAGAGUCGCUUCCCAUCACGGCUUCCCCGCCGGACCGCACCUCCCGGAGCCCUGGCGCCAGCCAGCCCGGUUUAGCGGCCGGACCGGGCUCCCCCGCGGUCCCAGGUCUGGUUGGGGUGGGGGCCGCGGCCUCGGUGACCCCAGCCCGCAGCGGCCCGGCCCGUCCCGUCCACUUAAACAAAUUGCCGCUGACAGGCGCGCAGUCUCUCUGGAGCCGCCGCCCUCCCGUCGCCUCCCUCCCGUCCCAAUUAUCCCGCGCAGGGUGGGGCCAACUGGCUGGGAUGGGGCGGGGGACGCGGGGAGAGCGGGCGGCUCGACUCCCUCCUGGUCGCGGGGUGGCCCGGGGAAGCGUCUCCGCAGCCACGGCCUGUGUGGCCCCGUCCCUGGUCUUCCCGGGGGAUGCGAGGGCAAGGCCCAGCCUGGCAGCUGUGGGCCCUGGAAGGGCGUCGUUCUGCACCUAAGGGCGAGAUCACGCGGCCGAGAACCAAGGCCGCAUCCCGGAUGGACUUCGGGUGACUUUCCCGGAGUUCUGGGGAAUCCCCUAACCCGGGGAGCUGCAGACGACUCACUGGCCCCGGGCCGCGGUUCCGCGGGUGGCCGCUGUACGCUUGAGACACCUGGUCCGCAGAAGUCAGGUGCACGUCUGUGCACCGUCGUGCGUUGGAUGUGCAUGGAGGCGAGAUCGUGGUUAUGGAUGUCUGGGAUCACGGGAGCGUGAACGGGGCGAUCGACUGAGUGACUUGAGAGACGGGGUAGAGCGCAGGAAGGACCCCUAGGACGGGCCCACCUGCGACGGGCGGCGGUGGGGGAGUGGGGGGCUUGCCGGCGCGUUCACAGGCUCUGGGUUCGCGUUCGGAAACGCUUUCGCAGGGAGCGGGUCGGGAUUCCCCGGAGCAGCACGGUGACGGCGUGCCACAAUCCGGGCUCCAGCUGUGCCGCCUCCGCCCUCCCCAUCCCUGCUAAGGGGCACCUGGCCUGGCUGUCAACUUCCCCUCGAACCAUGGGUUUGCCUUGUGGACCCGCAGCUUCCCCUCUGCCUGCUUCUGCUCUGUCGCGCCUUCGGAAGGGCAUGCUGCUCUCUCCCCUCCACUCCCUCCUUUACACAUGAGGACCCUGAAUCCCAGAGGUGCAGUCAUGUACCCAAGGCCACGUACCUGCUGGUGGCAGAGCUGGGAUGGGACCCUGGGACCUUAAAGAGAGCAAGUCCAAACCCACUCCUAAGAAGCCGGUGCUGCUGAGCUGCCUACCCCUGCUCCUACAGCAAGGUGAUCCUGAGAUGCCAGGGCUGCCACCCUCCCCUGGGCUCUUGCUCUGAAUUCGAGACAUACAGGAUGCACUGUCCCUUUGCCUCUAGAGCCUCCAGUUCUAGGUCUGCAGUGGGAGGGCUGCCUUCCAGCUACACAGGGGCAAGGGAGCAGCUGCAAAUUCAGUCUCUCAGCCCAGGCAGGAAGCCUGAUGGAGUCAGGAUGGGGAUCAGUGGGGUCAGCAUUCUGGAUGGGAUAGGGGCACAGGACAGGGAGGUCAGUUCGGAUUUGGGUCCCUCUAAGGGAACUGGCCAGGGUGUGAAGCAGCCAGGUGCAGACAGGGAUAGGCUCACUAGGCGUGUGACUUUGUGACCUUGGGCAAGGCCCUGCCCUUCUCUGGGGCUCAGGCUUGCUUGUCAUCUGCAAAAAAAAUGAGGCUCGAACAGAACUCUCAGGUACUUUCUAGUUUCAUGAGUCCCUGAAUUGUGAAAAUAAAAAAUUACCACUGAGAAACCAUAUACACUUCCAGACUGGUGGCUGCCUAGCCUGGCCUCUGCUCCUUGACAGAGGGGCUGGCCCUGGUGUUUGAGCUUGUGUGCUUGAAUUGGCCUCAGGCCCACCGUGCCUUUUCUCAUCUCAGACAGUACUCUUGCUCCUUCAGUUGCCACGCUGGCUCCCACCGGCCUCUUUCCAGAUCAUGAAGGUAUUUUUCCUUCAUCAAAUUGAGAGGAAGUCCGUAGUAAAGCUGCCCGUUGACCAGGUAGUGCCGAGAGAAUCGGUAGGUCACAUGGAUUCCUAAAGGUCCCCUGAUCAGCCACAGUUUGAUUCAUGUUCUGAUGCCCUCCCAGAUGAUGCCACCAUUAGGUCUGCUGGGGCUGGGGGUGAGUCCCAGAUUGCCCUGGAUGUUAUCUGUAGAGGAUAGGAAGCGGCUGCUCUGGGGCCAGUGGCCAGUAAGGUCCCCAACCCUGGGGCCCAGCUCUCCCUUCCAGCUGAUUACAGGCUAUGGCAGGCUCCAUAACCUCCCCAAUUAGCCGGAGGCCAGGCCCAAGGCCUUUCUGAUAACCUGAGCUCCAGUGGCAGCCGCUGUGGGGCCAGCUUAUCUGGUCUCUCUUAUCCUCACCCUUCCCCCACAUACUCAAAGAGUUGCCCUGACUUCAAGCAGAUGAAUAACCAGAUUGUCCUGCAAGCUCAGCCGGCAAGUCCAGCCCUACACCCACCACUUUCCCUGCCUGGGGGAGGCCACAGCUGUUUUGCCCCUGCUGGAGGGGAAGGGCCGGGCCAGGGAGGACUCCUGACUCUGUAAGCUGCCAGCCAGUUCCCUGAAUGGUUGAGAGAGCCCCUGGCAGCAAGGUCUCUGCCACAUCCACGUGUCCUGGGGUGGUUUCAGAGGGGCUCAUGCUUCCUAGGGCAGCUGAACCCAUCCCCAGGAAGACAGGCCAUGGGCAGCAUGCACAGGUGCCCUGGCAGGAGGGACUGGCUUAUGCCACCCUGUGCAGGAUCGUCUUCUCAGCUUACAGAGCCUAGUGUGAUUCAACAACCCUCCAUCUCUGCCCCCAACAUGCCCAACUGAUCUGGUGGAGGGAACUGAAGAUGAAGGCCUCUCAGGCACCAUGGAUGGGAUGGGUGUGUGUGAAGGGGGCAGGGUCCCCAGGAGCUGCCCCAGGUCUGGCUGGACAGUUGCACGGGAAGUCCUGUUUGUGAACUCAACGUUUCCACGGCUUUUCCAUUAAACUUUACCCCAAAUCACACCUGGCUCUGUGGGUUUCCUUCCAUUCUCCAAGGCCUCCCUGGGGUCUCUGGGAAGUGUGGGCCAGGGAAGGGGGCAAAGGACUAGCAUUCGUCUCCUUCCUGCUCAAUGCACCAUUUUUUCUCCCUGUUCCUGUCUCUGUUGCCACUUACUUUAGGUCCGGAAGUGGUGGUGGUGGGGCGGGGGGACAAAAUCAGGAACGUGUCAUCUGAGGGUUCCGGCCAGGUUUCAUGAGAUACCCACCUUCACCUGACCACCCUUCCAUCUUCUGAGUUAAAAAGAGGCAAUUACAACAAGGUGCCCCCCAGAUGAGGCUUUGCCAGACUCUCCCCUUGACAGCAACCCACCAGCACAUGGCAAGCCCUGAUCCCCAGGGAGGAGGGUCCAACCCU
This 6361-nucleotide long non-coding RNA is filed under the name Homo sapiens (human). RNAcentral's name for it is "non-protein coding TBX2-AS1:27". The record is from RNAcentral. Lineage: Eukaryota; Metazoa; Chordata; Mammalia; Primates; Hominidae.